RNAcentral lists this ribosomal RNA (274 nucleotides) under uncultured bacterium. RNAcentral describes it as "partial 16S ribosomal RNA". It matches the Rfam family "Bacterial small subunit ribosomal RNA", at positions 523 to 796 of the family's 1533-position model. The record is from RNAcentral.
AUACGGAGGGUGCAAGCGUUAUUCGGAAUCACUGGGCGUAAAGGGUGCGUAGGCGGUUUGAUAAGUCUGAUGUGAAAUCCUAUGGCUCAACCAUAGAACUGCAUUGGAAACUGUCAGACUAGAAUACUGAAGGGGCAGAUGGAAUUAGUGGUGUAGGGGUAAAAUCCGUAGAUAUCAAUAGGAAUACCGAAAGCGAAAGCGAUCUGCUGGGAAGUUAUUGACGCUGAGGCACGAAAGCGUGGGGAGCAAACGGGAUUAGAAACCCUAGUAGUCC